GCGCCCGUGGCUCAGCUGGAUAGAGCAUCGGUUUGCGGUACCGGAGGUCAGGGGUUCGAAUCCCUUCGGGCGCACCA
This 77-nucleotide transfer RNA is filed under the name Sulfurospirillum tamanense. Its description in RNAcentral is "tRNA-Arg". It matches the Rfam family "tRNA". From Rfam's summary of the family: Transfer RNA (tRNA) molecules are approximately 80 nucleotides in length. Their secondary structure includes four short double-helical elements and three loops (D, anti-codon, and T loops). Further hydrogen bonds mediate the characteristic L-shaped molecular structure. tRNAs have two regions of fundamental functional importance: the anti-codon, which is responsible for specific mRNA codon recognition, and the 3' end, to which the tRNAs corresponding amino acid is attached (by aminoacyl-tRNA synthetases). tRNAs cope with the degeneracy of the genetic code in two manners: having more than one tRNA (with a specific anti-codon) for a particular amino acid; and 'wobble' base-pairing, i.e. permitting non-standard base-pairing at the 3rd anti-codon position. The record is from RNAcentral. Lineage: Bacteria; Pseudomonadati; Campylobacterota; Epsilonproteobacteria; Campylobacterales; Sulfurospirillaceae.